GCGCUCUGCGCCAAGGAGCUGGGCCAGGCCCCGAUGACUCUGGCUUCCCCAAGGAUCUUGGCCGAGAAGCCAGAACUUGACGGCGUCAUUCCCACCGUAUUCCACAAAAACAGGGCCACCAGGCACAAGCAAGCAGCCUCUCCAACCUCACCCCACCGAGACCUUCCUUGUCGGCUCUCAACUCGCAUCCUAAGGCCUGGCUGAGACCCCCUACACCCUCCCUCUCAUCACAUUGACCCUGAGGCCUGGAGCUACAGUGAUGUGAGGAAUCAGCAGACAAUUACACAACAUGCACAUUUUUGGUAUUUGAUUUGAUUUGGACCCAAGAACGGAAUUCAAUGGGAAGCCAAGUUUAGGAAAAAUUUGAACUAAAUUCUAAGAUCCAGCCAGACCUUCACAGUUAAUUCCUAACAAAAUCAGGUCCAUUAAGUCCACAUCUCAGGAUGUGAUGCUCCUGUGCCUGCUCUACGGUUUGUCGUUUUGUAAUAUGCCGGUGUCCCCUGCUCUUUCUUAAAGUCUGCUUUAUGUCA
Long non-coding RNA from Echinops telfairi (small Madagascar hedgehog), 530 nucleotides. RefSeq lists it as uncharacterized. Lineage: Eukaryota; Metazoa; Chordata; Mammalia; Afrosoricida; Tenrecidae. The transcript has 2 exons. The record is from RefSeq and is a predicted model, not a curated record.